The sequence is a small nuclear RNA, 157 nucleotides long. Its record names the gene U1. It matches the Rfam family "U1 spliceosomal RNA". From Rfam's summary of the family: U1 is a small nuclear RNA (snRNA) component of the spliceosome (involved in pre-mRNA splicing). Its 5' end forms complementary base pairs with the 5' splice junction, thus defining the 5' donor site of an intron. There are significant differences in sequence and secondary structure between metazoan and yeast U1 snRNAs, the latter being much longer (568 nucleotides as compared to 164 nucleotides in human). The record is from Ensembl.
UCGUUUACCUGGCCGGGGAGACACCGUGAUCAAGAAGGCGGUUCACCCAGGGCGAGGCUCAGCCACUGCACUCCGGCUGUGCCGACCCCUGAAUUCUGAAUUCCCCAAUGUGGGAAUCUCGACUGCAUAAUUUCUGGUAGUGGGGGACUGCUCCCCG